UCAUAUGCUUGUCUCAAAGAUUAAGCCAUGCAUGUCUAAGUAUAAGCAACUUUGUACUGUGAAACCGCGAAUGGCUCAUUAAAUCAGUUAUAGUUUAUUUGAUGGUUUUUGCUACAUGGAUAACUGUGGUAAUUCUAGAGCUAAUACAUGCAUUCAAGCCCCGACUUCCGGAAGGGGUGUAUUUAUUAGAUAAAAAUCAGCUUUGUUGGUGAAUCAUAAUAACUUCUCGGACCGCAUGGCCUCGUGCUGGCGGUGCUUCAUUCAAAUAUCUGCCCUAUCAACUGUCGAUGGUAGGAUAGAGGCCUACCAUGGUUGCAACGGGUAACGGGGAAUAAGGGUUCGAUUCCGGAGAGGGAGCCUGAGAAACGGCUACCACAUCCAAGGAAGGCAGCAGGCGCGCAAAUUACCCAACCCCAACACGGGGAGGUAGUGACAAUAUGUAACAAUAUACGGCCUUAUACGUCGUAUAAUUGGAAUGAGUACAAUUUAAAUCCCUUAGCGAGGAACAAUUGGAGGGCAAGUCUGGUGCCAGCAGCCAA
Molecule: ribosomal RNA, 539 nt
Filed under: uncultured Basidiomycota
Lineage: Eukaryota; Fungi; Basidiomycota
Description: SSU rRNA
Rfam family: Eukaryotic small subunit ribosomal RNA
Source: RNAcentral